CAGCUCCAAUAGCGUAUAUUAAUGUUGUUGCGGUUAAAAAGCUCGUAGUUGGAUCUCGGUUUCGGGCGAGUGGUGCACCUUGCGGUGUUUACUGCCUGCCCGGACGAUUUUGUUGGUUCGUUUAUGGUUCUCUUAACCGAGUGCCAUAAGUGGCCAGCACGUUUACUUUGAAAAAAUUGGAGUGCUCAAAGCAGGCGCUACAGCCUGAACAUUAGUGCAUGGAAUAAUGGAAUAGGAUCUCGGUUCUAUUUCGUUGGCUUUCGGAGUCGAGGUAAUGAUUAAUAGGGACAGACGGGGGCAUUCGUACUGCGACGUUAGAGGUGAAAUUCUUGGAUCGUCGCAAGACGAACUACUGCGAAAGCAUUUGCCAAGAAUGUUUUCAUUAAUCAAGAACGAAAGUUAGAGGUUCGAAGGCGAUCAGAUACCGCCCUAGUUCUAACCAUAAACGAUGUCGACCGGCGAUCCGUUGUCGUUAACUGAAUGACUCAACGGGGAGCCUCCGGGAAACCAGAGUGUUUGGAUUCCGGGGGAAGUAUGGUUGCAAAGCUG
This 549-nucleotide ribosomal RNA is filed under the name Isotoma viridis. RNAcentral's name for it is "SSU rRNA". It matches the Rfam family "Eukaryotic small subunit ribosomal RNA", at positions 586 to 1139 of the family's 1831-position model. The record is from RNAcentral. Lineage: Eukaryota; Metazoa; Arthropoda; Collembola; Entomobryomorpha; Isotomidae.